This 31026-nucleotide long non-coding RNA is filed under the name Coffea arabica (coffee). RNAcentral describes it as "long non-coding RNA (CARA_LNC006126)". Lineage: Eukaryota; Viridiplantae; Streptophyta; Magnoliopsida; Gentianales; Rubiaceae. The record is from RNAcentral.
UUUUUUUUUUUUUUUUUUUUUUGUGUUUUGGGGGGGGGGGGGGGGGGGCUGCUGGAGAAGAGUGUAGUGCGGGGCUAGGAGUGGGGUGGGUGGAGUGCGUGUAUAGUCUAUCUAUAAAAACUCCAGUUUCUUUUACAUUGAAAAAUCCUCCCCUUCCAGAUUCUCUCUCGUCCCAUUUCCCGAAGGGCCAAAGGAGAGGAUCUUCUCUCUGUAAGUAUAUCUCCAAUCAAUCACCAUAAGUUUUUCUUUUGUGAUUUUGUUUGUUACGGUGUGCGUGAGCGUGUAAAUCUUUUUGUUUAUGCUAUGUAUUUUUUAUUGUGGUGGUUGAUCUAGGGUUUAAUUUUUUGAGGGAGAGGUAGGGUUUUUGCUGAGUGAUGGCUUCCAAGCGGAUCUUGAAAGAGCUCAAGGAUCUCCAGAAGGAUCCUCCUACCUCUUGCAGCGCUGGUUAGAUCGCCCUCCAUUCGUCCCCUUUUUUCCUUGUCAUUAAUCUAUCUGUUUUAAUUUUAGGAAAAAGAUUGGAUUUUUCUGGCGCCCUGUUUGUUUAAAAGAUUCUUCCUUUACUGUUUAGGGUCUUUGUUCUUAAUACCUGGAUAUUCUAAAGAGUCGGACUGGACUUUUUUUUUUUUUUUUUUUAUCCUGCUUCUGCUAUCAAAUAUCCCUCAGUUUUUCUUGACGCUUAUGCCCUCAUAGAAAGUGCGUGUACAUGAGAGACACAGACAUGGCCUGUGGUUCGAAGCGGGCACGCAUUCCUUCGUCACUUUAGAGAACCUACUGAUAUGAACAUAAAUCCAGUUUAAUUUAAUUAGAGACUAUGAAGCAUCCCAUCAAGAUCAAGCUUUGAAAUUUGUAGCUAAUGCAUGUUUUCAUCGUUAAGUGCUUGAAAUUUGAUUCUUAUGAUAUAUGUUGGGGGUCUGGGAGGAAGCAUAUCUGUAGCUACAGUUUUGUGCAGUCAGAAAGAUUUGCCAUAUGUAAUGUGAUUUUAAAUAUAUGCAGUAUGAUGUAGAAGUCAAAUGUUUUGCCCCAAUGUGUAUACCUCCCCCACCCCCUUUCCAAAGGUGAAGGAAAAGAAAUUCAACUGAGAAAAAGAAAAGGUUGCUGCUGAUUGUUGUUAUGGAUAACGUGCUGAUUCUGGUCGCCAGGGAGGAGGAUAGGGGAUGGGGGGAGGGGUGGAGAGGAGGGUUGGGGAGGGGUGAAGAUAGGAAGAGGGGAGGGGGAGAGGAGGAAGUGGAGAGGGAGGUGGUGCUGGGAGGAGGAGAGAAGGGGGAACGAGGGGGUAGCAGGUGGCUGGGGGUGGUUAUGAAGGGGGAGGUGGAGGGAGAGAUAAUCUUUAAAUUUUUUAAAAACGUUCCAAAAAAUUUAAAAUUUUAAAAACACCUCAAUAUACAAUGCUACAGUAAAGUUUUUGAUAUAUGGUGUCACAGUAAACUUCUUGAAAAGAACCCCGAAAAACACCUAAUCCAUAUGGUCCCUUUGGUAUUUAUGUUUUGUGUACAAGUUUGUUCUUUUAUCUUCAAUAUAGGUUUUUUGUGUUUCUCUAGGCCCAGUUGCUGAAGAUAUGUUUCAUUGGCAAGCGACCAUAAUGGGUCCACCAGAGAGUCCUUACGCUGGUGGAGUGUUUCUUGUUACCAUUCAUUUUCCGCCAGAUUACCCAUUUAAACCACCUAAGGUACCUGAAGAGCUUGUCUGUUUUUGAUGUAUUUAUUGAUGGUUUAUUGAGUGGAACAAGGGUUUUUUCAGGAACUGCAAAAAUUUUCUCGGAAAUCUUGCUCCCUGUGAUGAAGAUUCAUCAGAUAUGCUGCCCUUAUUGUUUUCGUAUAGGCUAAUGCUAUAGGCAGUUUGUGGAUACCAGAUAUUUUAUCUCUAAUGUAUCAUACCUUCUUAAACUUACAGAAUUGUUGUCUUUACCAUGUUUAUUAUAUUCAUUUUUUCCCACAUAACUAAGCUCAAAGAAGAAUUUUUCAGUUGUUAAACUUUUGUUCACACAAGUUUAGUGCAUACACAUAGCAGCAUUAACGCAAGUUUUCCUUGUGGGUUUCGAGGAAUUCCCAUAUUCUUCAUACUGUUUUGACAACAUUGUAUAUGGUGUUCUCCAUUAUCUGUUCCUUGCAAAACUCUUGAUCUUUCCAACCAUAAUGAAGUUGCAAUUGAAAAGUUAAUGCUGUAGUUGCUUUUAUUUGUUUCUUGAAGACCAUCCCGUUGACUCGUGGGAUGUUGUUGUACAUGGAUAUUGUUAUUGCUCAAGGAUUUCAGUGGUUUUGAUUGUUUUGGGAUUACUUUUGUAGGUGGCUUUCAGGACAAAGGUUUUUCACCCGAAUAUUAACAGCAAUGGAAGCAUUUGCCUUGAUAUUUUGAAGGAACAGUGGAGCCCAGCUCUUACAAUCUCAAAGGUGUGUGUUCUUUCUCAAUUUGGUUUUUUCUCUUCUGUGAAAAAGGUGCCGCACAUUUGUGUUUUAAUUUCUUGAUGAGGACUUUGUUUGUGCAUGCAACAUAGACUUGAAGAUUCCAUGGCUAUUUUUCUAGUAAUCUAUAAUACAUUUCAAGAGAUUCCUCUGCCUUUCUGUAGCAACCCUUCCUUUUGCUGAGCUGUUAUGCAUUUCUAGAGAUUUCUUUUCCCUAUGCAUCGCUGUCAUCUGUUUGAAGUUCCCUCUAUAUGCCUCUACAUUCUGUGUCCCUUAUCUGUUGCUAUUGGGAAAUAACUCAAGAAGAAACAUGAAUUAGUAGUUCAUUGUCUGCUUAAUCGUCUUCUUUUCACCUUAAUUGGACUUUACCUGAUUAUUGGCUGCCCUAAGUUGUUUAUCAGAUUGGGCUUCGUGAUCUAUUAUUGAUUUGUUUUAAGCACACUGCAGUUGUGUAAUUGCAUCAGCUUGGGAGCUUUAAGCUACCUAAUUUACUAGCACCUUAUCCUGUGGGAAUCUCUCAAGUGCUCUAAACAUGAUUAUACAUGUCGACUACAUGGAUCAAUGCCUUAUGGUAUAAAACAAGAAAGGCUUUCUUUGAGUUACUACUCAGUGCUGCAUAGUUGAGGAAAUGUGGGCUAACAAUGAUCCAUCAAUCCCCUGGGACCCCUUCCUGAAGUAGGGAACUAUCAAUGCAUGAACUGAAUGAAAAAGUAAUCAUGAUUGUUUAGAUAUUAGAAAUUAGAUGGAGAAUGUUUGGUUGACUGACCGAGAUUUUUUUUGGUUGCUUCCAGGUGUUGCUGUCCAUCUGUUCUCUGUUAACAGAUCCAAAUCCUGAUGAUCCUCUCGUGCCAGAAAUUGCUCAUAUGUACAAGACCGAUCGAAACAAGUAUGAGACAACUGCACGGAGCUGGACCCAAAAGUAUGCCAUGGGUUAGCAGAGCAGCUGUAGUAGCGUCAUGGGAGGGUUCCUUUCCGUUGUGAAAUUAAACUCUUAUCUAUGAUAUGGCCUGCAAAAUGAAGUGUAAUAUGUUCUUUAUAUUGAGUGGACUGAAGAGAAAACAACGGAAUCCUGCCUCAAAAACUCUCUUUCUGGUUUGUAAUCUUUUUAGAAUUGUUUAAUCAUGGUUAUGUGGUUUGAUCCUCAGUCUCCCGACGGAAAAGAGUAACGUUCAAUUUUUGGCUCCUGGUAAACAUAGACAAGACUAAAUUGCAAGUUUGCAACGCACAGAAAAGGUUACUUCCGGGGAGACCUGGAGUUACGGGAAAGGGUUUGAACUUGCGUUGGGAAUGAGUGUCUAAUUGGGCGUAAUCAGUUUUGGCACCUGAUGGGACUGCAGUUGACAUUAGGAUGUGAGCAUAUUAAAACUGGGCUUAAUGGGUCGAGAUCAAUUAAAUCUUGCUCGCAACCUUGAAUAUUUUUUGCAUUUUAAGCCUUCAAAAUCUCCUUAAAUGCCAGAUCGAUCGUUGAGAUGCCCUGCAUCUUCCUAACAUCAGUUAGCAAGGAUGUGCACCUUUUUGCACAAAAGGUUGUGCAUCUGCUUGUGGAUGCAAUGUAUUGGUGAGCAAUUUAUAAGAACUUGUGUAAAGGGCUCUAGGGCAUAUCUUGAUUUGUGGUGGUGAGCAGGUCAAAUUUAAUCCUAUCAAAAAGCAUAUAUAGAGAAAGAAAUGUUUGAUUUGUGAGAUUAGAUGUUAAGCUUGUUGACUUCAGUGGAAAGGCAACCUAAAUGUUUCUCGUCUUUAUGGGAGAGAGGCGUGUGACUUAGAAAAGGAAAAGCGAUCUUGCGGAGGGAAUUGAACAUUGGUCCAGUCCAAUAUGGCUUGAAAACGAAGCAUUAUCUGGACUAUUGGUGUUUCGGGCUAUUAGGCCUGGUUAGUCUUGAAUGGGGGUUCAAAGCUAAAGAAGAAUGGUUGUAAUAUGUUUGGUCAAAGUCAGAUGGCCCAAAUUCAGGUGUCAUGUCUCUUGGAGGCUGGGAAUUCACAACAAAGCACGCUCUAAAUUCUUUUAGUUCCAGAAACACCUUGGGUUCAGAUGGCCCAAUUGGAGGAAUUGUGGUGGGGAUCUCUAAGAACGGUCCAAGUCUGGUAUGAAAAAUUUGAUCCCAUGCUGCUUCAUCUACACUGGUGGUGGCUCCUUCAAGAGAAAACAGGAGGAGGUUGUGCGUGCAAAAAAUGAGACAAGGAAAAAUAGAGCAAAAAAUCAUGAAAAUGAAAUUCAAGCUUGAUCCUUGGACAAUGAAGUUGGUGUAACUGAAAGGUCAGGUUUUUGAAUCAGAAUCUCCUUUUGAAUCUAAACAAAAUAAAACAUAACGGUGGCAACGAAGAUAUAAAGGAUGUGAAUUGCAAAAAGACGGUAAGAGUCAUUUUUGUAAACUAUAACUAUGAGAAGCGAAGUGUUAGCUUCUUUUCUACUCAUCCUUCCGCCAGUGAAAAAAACAGGUAGACGUUGGCACGUGGCAGCUCAGAAGGAGGCCACUUUUCAGAUUUAAUUCUUGGUGCCGCGUGCCAACCAACGACUCAAACUUUCCUUCUUCAAAAGGGCUUUUUUGUAUGCCACUUUUUUGCUACGAAAUUCCGCAGAACAUAUUAUUAUUGUAUAUUGUAGCCUUUCUUACAUCACCUUUUGUUUUUGUUUUUUUUUGAGUCAGAUGGAUAAACGCUAGUAGUAGUAGUAGUGUGUGGUGACUGGUGAGUGAAUGAUACAAGUGCACAUCCAGUUUUUAAGGCCUCUUCUAGUUCUAGGUGGCCGGUAAUAAUACUUGUAGUUUUAUAGGUCUGCCAUCCCCAUAUCCCAUCUUCUCAUAAUGAAAGUGAGUCCAAUUACAGUGCAUGACACAAGACCACGAGCAUCCCACUAUGGCUACGUGUUCCCCCUGAAUCUGUCUAAAUUUUUACUUGGAUCCCAUGAGCAUCUUUGGAAAAACCACAGGAAAAAAAAAAAAAAAAAACAGACUCUAUAAGCAUAUCUGCCCACGUAUGUAUAUAUAUCUACAGCACUGGCUGGCUAAUAUGCCAACUAGCUAGACUCGUUAUGUAUCCUAAUAAAUGGAUGGGCCACAAUUAUCGGGGAGCAUAAUUAAUUAACCAUCUUCGAUGAGUUGUGCAUAUGCCUGGUACUAGCACUCAUUCAUAACUCCCGACAAUAAAUACUACAACAUACAUACAUACAUACAUACAUACAUAUAUAUAUAUAUAUAUAUGUGUGUGUAAAACUUGAGUUUCAUACAAAUUUAAGUUGAAAUUAGUUUUCAUACAUUCAAAUUUAAUUUAAUAGCGGUGCAUCAUACACUGCUAUCAGUAUAUCAAAAAUUAAUCCAUAAACAAGAUCGUCAACGCUUUUUUGGUUUUUUUUUUUGUGUAAAGAAUUUCUUUUUGGUUUUUUGGGGGGAAGAAAGGAAAAGGAAAAGGAAAAGGAAAAGGAAAAAGAAACAAUUGGUUGGGUGCAUUGCAUGGGACAUUCGUGUUAUUAUUAAUGAAUGAAUUGAGACCAGUUCCAUUGCAUCUAAUAAAUUGAAAUGGGAUCCUUCGUUUCGUUAGCACCACCCGAAGACAGACACGAGUAUCUGGAUAGCCUUUGUGGUGUCUGCAAUCUGCAAUCUUUGCAGCAGCAAUUGAAUCGGUGGUGGAGACCGGAAAAUCCGGGGGUCAAGACCCUCUCCAGUCUCCAGUCUCCAGUCUCCAGUCUCCACCACCCCGUGUUGCUGCUUCUAAAUCCGUUUUUGCUCCCCAUGAAGAAAGAAAGAAAGAAAGAAAAAACAAAAAGACAGAUUUAGAGCUUUGGUUGUCGCUUCUUUUCAUUUAAAAAACUAUACUACUAUUAGCUUUUUGUAUGGGGUAUUGUAUUUGUGACCCAUUCCUUUUGAUGUCCAGCAACAUUUGUAUACUAUAGACUACUGUUGCAUCUUUUUCUACUGAACCUGUGAAAAUAUUUUUUAUUUGCACUGUGGUACAGACUACAGGGUACGGAAUUUGUAAUUUAGGCAGGCAAAAGGGUUCAUGCACACGAGUGCUGGACCAUUAUUUUGCCACCAAGAAAUUAAACUAAUUUCAUAGUCAAGUACUGCCCUUUUUCUCGAUUUAGAGCUACACAAUAAUGACCAUUGAGAGUAUUAUCUGUAGUCUGAUCCCCACUCAAAUAUCGGAGAACAAAAUGAUCUGGACUUCGCCACAGAAAGAUUAAUGGGUACAUACAUAAUCAAGAAAACCAUAAAGUUCUUUCUUGAGUUGCAACAAUUAUUUGCUUCAUGAGUUGUUUUGAUUUGGAGGAGUAACACACUGUAACAGUUUGCAGCCUUUUCGCUGGUGGGUUCUCCACUCAUGCUUCAAUAAUUUCCUUACUUUGCCGGCAGUUAAACACUUGACUCGAAUUCGAACUAAUUGAGUCUGAGAAUCGAAUAAUUGUGUAUUAUUUACUCUAAUAUUUCUUCUUAAUUAAGAAAUGACUAUUAUGGAUUCAUGUGUUAGUCGCAGUAUUCUUGUCAAGCUCAAUCGUGAUCGUAGAGUCAGAGUCGAGGAGAUGGGAUUUCCCAAGUUCCUAAGCCCGAACUGAAGUUGGAACCGGGAGCCACGUCGACAUCACAUGGGGGCACGUGUCAGCGCCCUGACCGUGAAAAGCAGCAUAAAAGGCGCCGGAAGCGGACUUUUCAAACGUUGGAUGCGUCAGCAUUUUUCUGGGGUUUCCCCCAAAUCCAAAAACCGGCCUGUAAUUUUGUCUUUGACUGUGUAGACAUGGGCCCGAACGGUCCCCCUGUUCUUUCCUUCCGGCGACCUCAAGCUCGCUCGCUCGCUCGCUCGCUCCCGCCAGGCCACCAUUUCUUCGCUUCGCUCAGCUCACCUAAGUAAGGGCUCCUCUUCCUUCCUUAGGCUUACAUGAUGCUUUUUUAAAACUGUAGCUAGAAGAGAGACAAUAUACACAUUCGAAUGAGUAUUUUUUUUCCAGCACUUUGCCAUAAUUGUAGCUAUUGAUUGUCAUUAUUAGUUAGCAGAUUAAAACUCUGGUCAAUAGCAUUCUCUUUCGAGUGCGUUCUUUUCGUUGUUUAGGAGAGAACCAUCGCUAAGCUAAUACCCAGUGAAAGGCGAAAUGGCGAGAGACUGACUGACUCCAGAAAUGUCAAAUGGAACUGCUGCAGCAGUAGUGCAUGCAUAUCAAUCCAAUAAUGGAAGGAUUAAGUAAGAAUUUGACUUGAGAAAAACAAUUUACUUGCACAAGUCAUGCAAGGAAACUAGUUGCAUGCACGUACGUACGUGAGUGUUAACAAGAAGGACGAGUUUUUUGCAGGUUGAUUUUGAUUAAUUUAGUAGCUAGGAUUGUUAGGAGGGCUGCUGCACUCAAAUCUUCCAAACAUGGAGGGGCUUCACGUGCCUUACUGUUUCUCAGCCCGCUCUCCUUACAGAUGUAGCAGUCUCCUGUCUAAAUCUUGAGUCUAGCUAGUUCCUUCUUCCCCUUAAAUGUUCAGCUUGGGGGUCUAACUCGUUAAUUAAAUUAAAUGGUUGCGGAUAGAAAAGAAUUAAAUUACUGCCAAAGCAAGUUGGCUGUAAUUAAUCGUCUAUUGUGGUAGUACUGCUUUACCGGACUGAACCAGCCGUACUUAUGCAUUGUUAUUAUUGUGUACUGUUCAUUAGAAUGUGCUUUCAAGAAUUUUGCUGCGACGGUAGACAAAAAAGAUGAAUGUAAAUGGUGGUGCCAAUUUACGUACGCAAUCAUACAAUUAAUUAAGGUGCUUUAGCUAAUUUUCUGCAGUUUGGAUUGCUAAAAUUAAUACAAUUAAUUUUGCUAUUAUCUGCAUUGCUAUUUGUUGAAACUUUUAUAGAAAAAUAUAUUAUACCAAUUUAAUGUAUAUGUGGUAAAAUUACGAUUGAAAAAUUGGUUCAUUAAAAAUUUUGUAGGAGAAAAUGGCAAGAAUCCAACAAAAGUGUAUGUGUGUAUGUAUGUAUGUAUGUAUGUAGCACUCUUAACAAAUUGAGAAAUAUCCCUAUUGAGUCCCUUUAUCAGGCUGUAGUUAUACAUGGACAAACACACCCCAAAGUUACACAGCUGAUCAACCAGCUUUCCCCAAGCUUAAGAUUUAUUAACCAACCCACCCCCCCCCCCCCAAAAAAAAAAAAGAAUACACAUGAAAGAAAGGGAAGAAGGAGGUGUAUGAAGUUCUAGCUAGAAAUUUUUUGCACUUACCGAUAGAUAGAAAAAUUGAUCUGAAGCUGAGAAACACGUAAAUUUUCUUGAGAAAAUUAAGGGAUUUUUUCCCAAGUAUAUUUGAUAGUAAUAAAAAUCCGAAACAAUAGUACAAGCACUCUCCUUCCAAUGGUAAGAGGCAAAAGUAAGUAAUAAACAAAUAAAGGAGAUCGAUAGACUUAUGCUCUCCUCAUUAUAUUAUAGGGUCAUGAUUCUGCGGGUAUAACUUGAUUGAGGUGGUAAGGUCGAUGAUGGGUUUUGACUUGGGCGGAACUGGAAGCCGAUAUACAGAACAGGACGCAAAGAAAGGUACUGAUUUUCUGCAGUUGGGUGGCUCAAAGGGGGAGCACUAAUUAGUUGCCAUCUUGGGGAAGAUGUCCAUUGACUUCAUUCCUUCUGCGAAGUGGAUCGAGUUAAAAAUCACAACUGGCAAAUCAACGGUAAAAAUGUCGGAGUUCGAGAAAACGAACGAAGAUCAAUGCAUGUUGUAUUACUUAUAGAGAGUAGUUAUUACUUAGAUUACUUGUCCUUUAGUUUAUGGUUUUGGGUAUCUAUUGAGUGUUUUGUCUUUGCUAAUCCCUUCUUCACUCGACCAUUCUGGAUCUCUUAUGAAAUGAAACACCAAUUAUCAUCAUUGCCAUGCAUGCACCCUCUAAUAUGAAGUCUCUCGGUCUUAAUUAAUUUGUACGUGCACGUUUUUAUAAUUAAACACACCAUCUUCCUUGCUGGCUACGAGUUUGUACGUAAUAUGAUUCCACUAAUUAAACUGAUUCCUGUACCAUGUUAACAUGACAACAAUACUACUGUAUGAUCAACUAGAUGAAUGUCAAUUUAGUUAAUCUCAAAUGUCAUUCAGUGAAACCAUCCAUUAUGUGAGUGGUCGACAAUCUUAUUGUUUUUUAUUUUCAAUGUACGUUUCCUUGUAAGUGGCUCGUGCGCUAUGAGCAUUUUACUAACUCAGGGAACAAAUGGAAUAAACUGCUGUACAGAGUUCACUGCAGUCUUUUCUCACAGGUUUAGUUUAGGACCUUAAUUUCAUAUUAGUGCUAGUAAUCAAUCGUAUUAUAUUAAUUAGUGCUAUUUCACUUAAGACAAAAGCAAAUGUCCUAGGUAACAUUAACCAUAUAUACUAAGUUCAAAAGAAUUCCCAUUUCAGCUGUUUACGUGAAAUCAAGUACAAACUAAUCUUAUAUAUAUAUAUAUAUAUAUAUAUAUAUAUAUAUAUAUAUAUAUAUAUGCCCAGCCAAACCACUAGUGUCUGAAAUGAGUCAUUUUAUGGCCAAAUUUUGCAUCCAACAACAGAACGUACAAUUACAUGUGUCUCUGCACAAACUGAUGAAGCAUAAUCCAAAAUCUGAUUAGUGUACAAACCGGCAAAUGAUUUAUUCAUUAGGAAAUUCCUGUUACGAUUUCUUGCCCUAACGACUAAUCAUUCAUUCAAUAAUGCCACCCCCUAAGAAAUCAGAUUUCGGGUCAAUUGAGUUUAUAGCUCAAUGAUGGUAUUGAGCCAGGCAAAGCAAACAGCACCUAACAAAAACGUGUUAGCCUUAAUCCCAGUAUUAAUUUAAGUUCAAGAAAAGCACUAAUGCAUUCAGCAAGAAAGUGACCCUUUGGACAGUAUUAACGGAGGCUGGAGAUCUCGUCCAUGUAAAGACAAUUUUCAAUUCCCGUCUACGGGUCAACUUUACUUUGACCAUGAAACAAACAAAAGUACUCUUUCCUUUCCUUAAUAUGGCCCAUUGAGUCAUCGUUUGUUGUAUACGGCCCCAAUUGGUUUGAGGGAAUCCUUUCGUAGCACAGGAGAAAUGGCUGUUUUCGUAGAUCUCUCAACAAGAUAUCCUUCGUGUGAUUGAGAUAAACUUUUUUUUUUUCUUGUAAUGAACACUCGAUCACGUGAGUCAUAUUUUGAGUCAACUUGGACGUACAUUGAGAAUCAUAUUCCCGAAUUAUUGAAAAGAUAGAAACGAGAGCUAUCUAUCGAUCACUGAAUUUGAUUCAAUGGCCAAAUCCUUCUUUGAAUUAUAGGUGGAGAUUCAAAUUACACUUGCAGUGAAAAAAAAUUAAAAAAUGGUGCCAUAGUACCUUUUAAUCGAUUGAGUGUACCUGUAGUAAGCUUACUCUACUUCCUCUAAACGAGCUUAAAUCGUAAAAGAAAAAUAACCCAAAUCAAGUGGAAAAAUAAAUAUACGAGUACGUGCAUUUAAAUAGUAAAUUCUAUGCAUGACAUGCCGGGUGUUCCCAAAACACUCGAUGAAAAAUAUCGUGGUAUUUUUAGAUUAUUUUAAAAUAGCUAAUGAAUUACGUAUAUAUGGGGGGCAUUGGUCAUCAAUUAGCACAAUGAAUAAAUAGAGAUAUGAAUUUCAUUAAAAGCUACACGACGGGAUUAUAACUGUUUGAAACCUACAUCCAAUCAUUAAAUGCUGGAAAGAGGCCCCCAGAGCAAGUCUUCUUUCCAUAAUUAGGCUCGUGGAAGUCAAGUGGUACCCGCACCGCUCAACUUGACAUCCCGCGUCACCUUUGUUUAAGGUUGAUUAAUGGGAUAAUAACAUAAUUAAUGACUAAUCAGAAACCGGCUGCUGAAUAAAGAAACAGUUUAGACGGCUUAUUUGUCUGAUGUGCCGCGAAGGAAUGAUUGGUCCUUUCGCAGCCGCAGCAAGGGAUCCAAUAACCUUGGGCCGGCCCACGCCCACACUGAAACCUUAGACUAGUGAACAGUGAGUCAAAGUUACUGUACUGCCCUCGUACUUUACCCUUCGUUUAGCCGUGUUGCCUAAUUUGAAACAUGUACGCAAGGAUAAAAACCGUUAAAGAUUUUUUGGUAUUUAACAGCAUCUGAAUUUGCCGUCUGUAUACUCAAGAUUUAAGUGGGGACGCGAAAAAAAAAAAAUUUGUAUUGUACGGUAAACUUGUUGGUGGUUUAACGUUAAAUGAACGAACUUACUGGGGCAAAAUGAAUAAACAAGUAAAUUUAGGUUGGAUUUUUUUUUUUGAAGAAUAGUUAGUUUGGUUUCGGAAUUAGGCACUGUGAGUUUGAAAUCCAAUCCAAAAAUACCAUAAUAUUUUGAAAUGAUACAAAAUUCACGUACAUGGGAAUUAGACAGUGUGAGUUUAAAUUUUAAAUCGCGUUUUUGAAAUUUAGAGAUUGCAAUUUUUUAAAAAAAAAAUAGAGAUGCAAACUUUAUAAGAGGCAAAAAAAAAAAAGAGAAAAAAGUGAAUGGAUGUGACAUUUAAUAAUUAGUCUUUAGGAUUAAGGAAAAUCUAUUCUUUUUUUUUAAUUUAAUAGACAAAAAAAACUAUCGGUCCAACGGUUUUAUUCCAAUUUGCAUGAUAUUGCAUGGUUCAAAUGGUUUUUAUCGAUUUUUAAGUCCAAUAAACCUAAAGUAUAAAUCGGACUAGAGUUAUGAGCGAUUCGCAAUUCGAUCGGUUGAACCAACCGAUCGUGUCCGGUCAUGAAUUUGGGCAAAGCUUUUAUAACGUUGAGGUGAUUAUUGAUUGCGGACACCAAAACAUGAGUACAUUUUUCAAUGUGCAUGACAGGAGUUAUUCAAUGUAAACAUCUAAAUCUGUGUCAAGAUAAUAAAGGAAUUGGCACCAUAAAAAAGAACAGAAUAGAGUUUUGGUCAGUCAUACAAUAUAUUACAAUCUCACAUCUAAAUUUGUCUUCCUUCGUCAGGGAUUCUUGAGUAAUUUAAAAGGGAAAUAUGAAACCGGCGUGACUAUUAUCCUCGGAUAUGUUAUAUGACUAUCUUUAUUCCAUCCCUUAUUAAGUACUUAAUUAGGUUGUCCCUGCGAAAUUUAUCUUUGAAGCAUCCGUGUGUGUAGCUAGAUUAUAAAAUUCAUCUUGUACAAUGGUCCCCUUUUUUUUUUCUUUUUUUCAAAUGUUAGGCCAAUGUUUAUCCUGGAACAGGCAUGACACCUGUCUUUCUUGCAUGUCAUGCCAUGUAAAGAAGUGGUAAUUUGUAGUGCGUGUUUAACAAUACUACACCCCCUGUGUUAACGUGCUCGAUGUGGAGUGGGACCUCCUUUCUCGAGUCGCAGGAAAUUAGUUGGGCCCCGUAAGAAUUGAUUCGAACACUCUUGUGUUGACAAAAAAAAAAAAAGGUUUAACAAUACUACACAAAGAGGAAAUAUAUACGACAUUGAAUCGGAAAACUUAAAACCAUAAUGCUGUAGUCUAACAAAAAACCAACAAAAGAAAAAAAAAUCUUGGAAAACCCAAAAGGCAGGCGCGCAAUGGUGAGGAUCAAGUGGAAACAGUGUGAUGCCCAAACGUUAAACGCCACUCGUAAGCUAAAUACAAAUACAAGAAAGUGGUAGAGGAGAGGUGGUUGAGGUCUCAGAUGAUACGGUACCAAGGUGGCAACUGGCAGAAGUACGAGUGGGAAUGCUCUUUUCUACAUCUAUCUGGUCUUUAGUCUACUCCCGAAUAGUAUAAAAUUGCUUAGAGAGCAGCAUGGGAAUUCCAAACCAACCAAGAAAAAAAAAAAAAAAGAAGGGCAAUUUUAUGAAUGGCGCCAAAUUCUAGGUUGCCUCCCACGUUUAUUUUAGCUGUAAAUUCAGCAGGAAAACAGGUUACAAAAUUGCAACCACUCCAAUUUUAAAAUUUACCACUGCUGCUCUGUUUGUACCAUUAGAAACGGUAAAACUUUCUCUACAACGGUCUCUAGAAAUCAGGCGCUAAAAGCUCACCAGCUCUCUUCUAUAAAAGCAUAUUAUAUAUAGUAGUGUGUUGCUACUAUUUACUAGUAAAUCUGUUCAAUAAACCACAUUUAAAUUCAUAAUUACCAGCAUUAAACGCUAACCCCAGGACUAUAAGGCCUCAGAGUUGAGAUUGCUACUCUUAAUUAAGAUCUUUCGGUCAAAGAUAGACUGACGCACUAUUACUAGUACAAUGACUCGCUCGCUACUCCUAAAGAGCUAACUGCCCAGUCAUUUGAUUGACUCGACUGACUAAAUUAACGGAACCGCCCUCUCCGGUGUCACGUGACAUGAAUCACAGAUUCCAAUGACUCGGAGGAUGAAAAAAAAUACACCACCGGUACAAAGAAGAAAAAAAGAAAAAAAACGACCCUUAGCCUGCUGUAACUGAUUCAACGCCAUCUACAAUCCAUCCAUCACUCAUUGCUAGCCGUUAAAUUAUUGACCACAUUUAUCCACAUGUCAAGAUCGUACUGCUUUCUCCACUAGAUGCGGCGGCUCGCCUAAAAUAUCUGCCGCUGCAUCGCUCUCUGAUUAGACAGAAUUACUAAUCAAUUUUAACUGAAGGUUAAAACUGGCAUAACUACAAAUUACUACUAUAAGUAAAAACAAAACUACUAGGCUAGAGCAUAUAUAUACUAAUAUAUUUGUUUAAUUUUGAGAAUUUCGUUUAAUUAAAUAAUAAUAGUAGUUCUUUUGAAACAAUCGUAUCCUAUAAAAGCAUUUCCAGCAGUAGCUUCGGUCUACAAUCCAACUGAAUACACACUCCCCCUCCCUCACACUCUCACCCUCUUGCUCUCUUCUUCUUCUUCUUCUUCUUCUUCUUCUUCCACAGCCUCUGCCUCCUUUUCUCCAUCUGCUCCUGCUCAAAGCCUCAAGCGCGCCACCCUCCCUGGCAUCCAUCCCCUGAAUUUUUGAGCUUUUGGAUUUUCUUUUUUUUUUUAUAGCAGAGACAGGAGGAGCAGAAACAGAAACAUGAAGCUUUUGGGACACCGCUUGUGAUUCUUCUGGAACAUAUAUUCCCUUUCCUUUUCCAUCCCAAAAACUUUCACCAAUAUAUAUACACUUUCCUGUAUGUUUCUCUUUUCUCAUCUUCACUCUUUUUGCUCCAACACACCCUUGAGUGUGUGUGUGUGUGUGUGAUAUAGAGAGAGAGAGAGUUAAAAAGAGAGGCUUUGGAAGAUAUCUAUCCAUCUAUGUAUCUAUCUUUAACUCACUUUCCUAAGUAAACAUCUCUUCUUUUAUUGCUCCUUUCCUCGAACUUUCUCUUCCUUUUUUAGUCACCUCAUCUUAGAAACCCAUGGUAAUUUUUAUUUUGCAGUGUUAAUUUCAAGGGCGUUUAAGCUUUAGCAACGUUCAGCUGCCCCUUUAUUCCGAGAAUCUCUUCCAUCCCUUCUCCUCUCCUCACUUCUGCGUCUGGGUUCUACCCCCUUUCGCUUUCAAAUGCGAACCUGACUCAUAAUCUUCGCUCCUUUUCCUCGGGUCUCUUUCUUUUUCCACUCUCUCCCCCAACACGAUGGACCAACAAAGAAUGCAAGACAUGUUGACUAAUAAAAAGGGAGUGAAAUACACCGAGCACAGGAAGCAGUACGAUCUUCUUCUUCAUUCAGGAAACGCUCCCCUUGUUCCUAAUUUAGUUGUAUUUGAUACUCAACUUGGUACCAAACAUGCCCCUAACCUUAAAUGUCUGAAAGGUUAUAUGAGUAAGUAUAAUGAAAUUAAAGCUAUAAUAACUUGUACUCGAUGUUCCAAUUACACUCCAAACACUCUCACAUUCCCAAAAUAGCCCCACCCUUGCGGUUGAAAUCUAAAAACCUUCUUUGUGCUAUAUAAACUCGUUCUUAUACAGUAAGUAUAUAAGGAUGUAUAUAUGUUAGAGAUGUGGUGGAUGGAAAAAUCAUGACCCCAUUCGUCUGAAAUGAUUCGUAACAGUUGGUAAGCUGCCAUUUGUGAGUUUCAAUGCCAAUCUUGAUGCAUACUUGUAACCGCAAUCGGGAAACAUUUGUAUCAUGUCAUCUGCAAUAUUUCAACAAAGAAAUCUCUUGCACAUUCUUGUUCAAUGCUCGGCAUCCGUAUGCAUUUGACCUCCCUCAACUGUAACUUAGGUACUUUUGUUAGAUGGUAUAAUCUAAACACAUGCAGCGUCCGGUGAUAGAUAAUUCAAAAUGAUUUUGGAGAUCUUUUGGCUUAUUUACGGAAAGCUUUGUAUUCCCUUCUCUCCAAGGAAAUUUACUUAAACAGAUGUGCAAUUUAUCACUGGGGAAAGUUUGAAGAUCGAGCGGGAACUGCUCAGCCAGCCUAGGAUAACUCAACUGCAUUAACUAAUACAUUUAUCUCCAUCUAAUGAUUUCCACAGUUAAAAAUAGAUUAAGAUUGUUUUAAGCAAACAAAUAGAUGCCGUUUAGGCAGACAAUACGUACUCGAAAUAAAUUAAGCUAUAAAAAAAAAAAAAAAAAGGCAUUGCAGAAAAUCUGUGUGCAGUUGAAGCUUAAAUUACAAUGGAUUUAAUCAUCGCGCACAGAUGUUAAACAAUACAGUCCUCCUUCUUUCUUUUAUAAAUGACGCCUCCUAUACUUAAUGGGAAACCCAAGUUAUAUAAGGAGUUAGAGAAGCAGGAGGUCCACCUAAAAUUAGACCUCUGGAUUUUUGAGAGUUUUUCCUAUUGGUCUACAGCUUAGAAAGGGAUUCUUAAUGCCUCCUAGUGGCCAAAGUUGCCUUAGACAAGUUAUUUCCGAGUUUCGCCCUAAUCAUUAUAAAAUAUAUAUAUAUAUAUAUAUAUAUAUACUAAGGAAAUUCAUUUUCCCAAGAUAUGCUUUUAUUGUUUGGAUGCUAUGUCUUAGGGAAUUAAAUACCAAGGAUAGAUUGAAGAACUGGGAGGUAAGACCAGAAGGUGAGCUUUGCGAGCUACGUCAAGGCCAAUUGAAGACCAUGAAUCACUUUGUUCAGUUCCUUGAUUGUUCUGUUUCAAGGAAAGUGUAAAAAAAAUUGUUACACAUGUGCUUGUCUGAUACUCUACCAUGGACAAAUGAAGAACAAUGGUUAAGUGUCCAUUCGAAGUCGAAAUCUUUUCCUGAUCAAGUGAGGAGAUUGGCAUUUGUUGAGGUGGUAUACCAUUUCUGGAAGGCUAGAAACCAAUCUUUUUUCGAACACAUGUUUGUAAAAGAAGAGGACAUUGUUCGUGAAGUGCAGGCUACUGUAAAAGAUUUAGUGGCAGGUUGAGAAAAAUUUCCAAUAAACAAGGGGUAUAGAGUUGGGAAUUGGCUAUAGAGUUGGGAUUUGGCAUAGGGUACUAUUAAUGUAGUAGAAAUUCUACAUUUCAUGUACAGACUUACUAUUCUUAUCAAUAAAAUGUUUAAUUUUGUUCAAAAAAAAAAAAGAAACAACGUACAACUUGUACACAUAAUAAAUAUCUUUUCACAAGAACCAAAAUCAUGCUAAAAGCACAAGGGAGAGUGGAUAGACAGAAACAUACAAUAAAAAAAAAAAAGAAGAAGAAGAAGUAGAUUUUCUGGAUGAAAACUCAAAAGAAGAGCAAAAAAAAAAAAAAUCAGCAAAGAUUGGAAUCUUGAGCUUGGGUUUGACACAGCAGCCAAGCCAAGCCAAGCAUUUAAGGUAACGUGGUAGUAUUUUCAAUUUUGUUUUGUCAGCUUAACGAACUUCUUCGGGUCAUCAUCAUCAGUCCCAUCCCAGUGCCGUACUGCUCAUCCUUUUGCAUUGCACCUAGUAGGAUUUCGGGGCUGCUCCCUCCAAUUUGUGGGCCCUUUGUCCAGCUCAGCGAACCUGCGUACGACAGCACUCGACAAUAUGCAGAUUAGACGGGGACGUGAUUUUAAGUAGUCCCACAUCGAUUCGAUUCUUGAGAGGGGUUUGAGUUGGAUAAUUAAGUCUCUGAAUUGCUUUCAAGAGUUAUCGAUUUUUGAAAAUUAAUUUAAAACUAAAUUUAAUUUAUUUAAUAAAAAGUCAUUAUUAGAGGUGAAAAAAGAUGGGGACGUGAUUUUUGUGCCGCGCGCCGGGGUGAGUACAAAAUGCAGUUAGUAUUGUGCUGAGGUGAGUGCAAAGUUUCGCCCUGGAAAGGAAUUUUUCAUUAAAAAAUUUUUUUUUUACACUUUUCAUAAAUAUAUUUUUUAAUUAUUUUUUAUUUUACAUUUAUCAAAAUAUCUAUUAAAGACAGUUUUAUUCGUCCCUUAAAAUAUAGGGCUUGUUUGGAAGUGAAGUUUUUGGCCAAGUUUUUUAGCUACUAGUUUUUUAACAACUUUUGCUACAAGAACCCCAAAAAACUUAUCAAAAUUUUUUACCUACACACUUUAAAAUAAUACACAAAAACUUUUUUCCAAAAUCUUAGCCGUUCCUUUGCUCCUUUAACUCUGCUCUCUCUCACAAGUCAUAAGCACCUCAACUCAAUCCUGCAAUUCUCUGCAAACCUCUAGGCGGGAAAAAAAAAUCAAAUUGUGCAUCAAAUUUCCAAAUUUCCAGAUGAUGCUUAAUAUGAAAGCCUCCCCAGAGGCCCAGACGACGUCGUCUUCAUCAUCAUCGCCGUCCGCUCAAUUGUUACAGCGGAGAAGGCUUUCUCGUUGAUGGAGCGAGGUCCGCUACUCCGCAGGUGCUGACCUCCAAAUGAUUAAGAACCGAGCGAACAAGGGAACAGGGGAAUAGGGAAGGGGGUGGCGGGCAGAGGGGGUGGCGUGCAGAGGGGAGGGAGAAGGGGUAGAGGGGGUGGCGUGCAGAGGUGAGGGGCAAGGGGCAGGGGGCGCGGCAGCUGGGGAAGGGCUGGCGGGGAGGAGGCGGCGGGGGGCGCGGGGCGUGCAGAGGUGAGGGGCAAGGGGCAGGGGGCGCGGCAGCUGGGAAGGGCUGGCGGGGGAGGGGGUGGCGUACAGAGGGGAGGGGGAAGGGGCAGAGGGCUGGCGGGGGAAUGGGGCUGGCGGGGGGCGCGGGGCGUGCAGAGGUGAGGGCAAGGGGCAGGGGGGGCGCGGCAGCUGGGGAAGGGCUGGCGGGGGGAGGGGUAGCGUGCAGAGGGGAGGGGAAGGGGCAGAGGGGCUGGCGGGGAAGGAGGCGGGGGGAAAUGCAGAGGAGAGGAGAAGGGGAAAGGGAGGUCAGAGGGGUGGCGCGGAAGGGGAAGGAAGAAGAAGAAGAAAAAAGAGAGGAAAGAAAAGAAAAAUAAAGAGAAAGAAAAAAAGAAAGAAAGAAAAAAAAGAAAAGGAAAAAAAAUUCACCUUACAAAAACUUUAACAAAAUUUUUUAUCUUAUAAAAACUUCUACAAAAAAUUUUUCACCUUAUAAAAACUUUUACAAAAUUUUUUCAAAAACUUCUACAGUGCACUACAGUAAAGUUUUAGACAAACUCUCAAAAAACCCAGGUUCCAAACAGGCCCAUACUUCUUGGCGACACCUGGGAAAGUUGGACCAGUGCAGCUUACGGCAGGCCUGCUUUUCGGUCGGCUCAGUCACUUUUCCAGCCCAACUUUCGUUUUGUUGCCCUUGGUUUUGCGCUUCUGCAUGCAACUACGGGGAAUCCUUUUGAUGUUUGGGCCGUUUUGGCUUUCUGUAUCCAAGUCUUCUACUGAAGCCCGUGAUCAAGGAACUGCAGCUAAAGUAGAUUAUAGGCCUUACCCCUUUCGGGGCAACGAUUACAAUUAUCCUCGUGUUGCUAGAAUCUUGAGCCACUAGUGUACGCAUGCCAUAGGAGAAGUUAAACUCUCGAUCCAAAAUUUUGCAAAUCCACGUUGAACCCAGGGUCAAUGGUUCAAAAAGGGGCCAAAACAUAAACUAAACUAUUCGAUAUUCGAAUUGAACUCGAUUCAAUAAAAUAUCAUUCGAGUUUGGUUCAUCAGUUAGUUAAAUCAAACUUGAACAACAUUUUAUAGUCAAUAAACUUUUAAACUUAACUCGAGUUUAAUUCUAUUCCUAUAAAAUUGGAUUUGAUAUGUAAAAAUUCAAACUACUUGAGCUCGACUUGAUGAAAGCUCAUUCGAAUUCGAUUCUGCAAAACAAAAAAAAAAUCAAACUUGAAUAAAAUUUCAAACUUAUUAAAAUAAUCAAACAAGCUUAAAUAUUAGAAUAUUCAACUUGAUUAGACUAGUUUAUAUCCCUAUCCACAAAACUAAACCUAGCUACAUGGAAAUUGAAUUGUUUUAAAAUUAGAUGGGUGGUAUUAUGUGCAAAGACCAUUGACAAAAAAUUUGCUAUUGUUUAGUCACUUAAGAAAUAAAAAGGAGCAUCUUUUUGUAUGUCUUUUGAUGUCCUUUCUCCUCCAAAAGAUGAUCUAUCCUUUCUCCUACAAAAGGAUAUUCUAUAUAUGCGCAACGGAUUAGUCAAGGCAAAACUCUGGAUAUCAUGACAGGCAACCAAAUAUAUAUAUGCGCAAAAUCACACGUGCCAAUAUAUGUACAUUCGGACGGUAUGCAGUCUAACCCACCACUUUUAAGAAGGAAAUGCAACCCCACCAGUUGAGUUUUGUCCAAUUCCGUGCACUUGUUAUCAUUCUUAAAAUAAUAUUUGAUAUAAAUUUACACAAUUUUAGUGUAAUUGUAAAGUUUACAUUAUUUAAUUAUACUAGUUUUUGGGCCCUGCGCCAGCCUGUGUUGGGGUGAUGGAUUUUGUUGUGUGAUUGGGUGGAUUUUGUUGAUGGAAAGACCAAGACACCCCUCGAAAUCAGCAGAAUUACCAUCGAAACCCGCUCAUGGUGUUUGUGUGAUUGGGAGGAUUUUGUUGAUGGAAAAACCAAGACACCCCACGAAAUCAGCAGAACUACCAUCGAAACCGACCCAUGAUUGUACUGUAGCAAAUGGGCGUUCCCCCUUUUAUAUAUUUAAGAUAAGUAAACAAUUUUCAUGAAUACAUCAUAGUUGUACAAAUUUACACUAAAAUAUUAUAAGAAUUACAUCAAUCGAACUGAACAAGAGAGGCAUCGGAUUUGAGUAAGAAAUAAAAUAACGCGAUGAUUAGACUUUUUUUUUCCCUUGUUUUCAAAUUUAAUAAUUACUUCCAAACAGAUUUUUAUUAUUAUUUUUUUUUGGUGGUGGUGGCCGUCUGAACAAUUCUUGCAUAACAUUCUUGAGGAGGAAGAAAUUUAUAUGUCGGGUAAAACUUAAAACAGUGUGCGCGGGGGCCGCUGUCUGGACUCUGGUUCUCUUUCAAUUUCCCAGAGCCAGGAAAACGACCAAACAGCCCCUUCUCUAAAACCCUCCUGCUUUCUCUAGAACCCCCAAAAUCAGAAGAAACAGGGGAAGAUGGAUUCAGCUCGGAAAGGCCAAGCAAUAUGCGGGCAGGAGGCACUGAAUUUGCUCAACUGCGUCACCGAAACCCCUUACGAUCAAGAGAAGUGCCUCCGUCUCCUUCAGUCGUUGCGCCAAUGCGUCGUCGACAAGGUGCUCAUUAUCUGUUUGUCUGUUUAUGUUUUACUAUGAUGUAUGAUUUGAUACUCCUACUUGUUUUGCGGAGUACUGGAUUUGGUUGUACAUAUUGUGCUUGUUAAAUUGACAAAUUAAGUUGCUGAAGCGGAUUGGGAAAUCAACUGGUUUGCGUUAAUGAUUACGAUUAUGAUUAAUUAAAAUUGAAAUAGAUGAGGAAAGGUAAUGAUAAGGGUUGGAGAUUAAAGGCUUGAAAGUUGCUUGUGUUUGAUCAUUUUCCUUUUUACCAAUUAUUGCUGCAUCGAAAUAAUAAAUGAAGGACCUUUGACGGUAUCUUCAUGUUGAAGUACCUUAUCCGACCCAAUUGCGUGAGACUAUGGACGAUUUCAAUAUCCAUCAAAGUCCAUUUAUAGAAUCAUGCAACCAUGAUUCCCUUUGUUCAGGCAAUGUUGGUUCAGUCAUUGCGAUGCCAAGGGAAAUGUGUUCAUGAGCUGAUCAGAGCUGUAAAAAUCUAAAAAGAGUGUUGAUAACCCAAUUUGGAAUGGAAAUAGAGUAGAACAAUCAUUAGAACUUCUAGUGAGGAAUACAACGACUCGCUGACUUGUUGCCUCACUUUCUUUUCUUUCCUAAUUUACAGUGAAUGGUCCUUAUUUAGCAUUAUGCUGUAGGAGUACAUCGAUUGUUUUGCUAGUAGAGGAGGAAAUAUCUUGAUGACCAAUUGUAAGGUGAUGAGGAGAGACGCGUCUUGUUUGUUGUAGUGGAUAUAAUUGACUACAGUCAGUAAAACAGUCCUUUGUGAUUGUGUAAAAACUUCGAAGUUCUUGCAUCAAAUUGUCCUCAAGUUGUUGGUUAUGUGUUAAAGCUCGUUCCAACUAUUUCUUCUUCAUGUAAUAAUAGCUGACAGUUUUGCCUCCUUGCUUUGCAUGUAGCAUAACAGAUACUUGAUACUUGAAUUUGUAGCUUCUCCCAUGUUAAGUAAAGCGGUUUUGUAUUGAAUUCAACGAAUUUUAGCAUUAUCUUUCCUCCUGUCUUGCUUGCUUCUCUUAGUUAUUGGCAUGAUACCUCUGAAGUAAUCAAUAACUCAGUUGGAAUAGAGAAUGUUGAGGAGAUAGUAUCUUUUUGGUAUUUCUCUGAUUCAUUAUGUCUUGCUAGGUUAGUGUGGUUUUCCCAAAAUCUUUUCCGCUGUUGUAUCUGAAAAAAAAAAAAAAAAAAAAGGUUUCCACUGAUUUUGGGAUGCUAAUAAACACUACUGUUAUCUAAGACUGAGAGUUUGCUCUAUUUCAUACAUAAUGUGCAGUAUUGCUUGGAUUUGUUAUGGGCCAUACUCAUACCCUAUUUUUCUUGCCAGAGAGUGAAGAAAUUCUCAUUGGCCGAAGAAAACCAAGGAAGUGUUGAUGCGAGUAGCGAGAAGAAACAUUAAUCACUUGUGAUUGCUAGACUUGUAUUAAACUUGACCAGGUUGUUGCACCAUUUUUUCAGCUAACAGUGAUUGAGGCUAGACAAUGAAAGAUGAUUGCACAUUGCAUAAUCAAGAGGGCCAAGGUUUUCUGCUUAAUGAUGAUCUUAUCCUGUAUUUCAUACUGAAACAUCAGAAACUCUUCCUUUCAUGUCAUUUUCAAUUUAAAGAGCUCCUUUUGAAGGCCAGGUAGGACUUGUUCUUCUGCACCUUCGAUUUACAAGUUGAUGUUGUCUCUAUGAUCAUUCAAAGCAUUUGAUAAGAACCUUUGGAACGCUCCAGAAAGUUGAAAUUGCACAAUCACAAUUCUUCGUUUAAAAAUAAUUGUUAUCCUUGAACACAGUAGGAUACGUAGUAUAGUUGACAAUAGGGUUGGUGCUUCAAAUUUACUGGAAAUGAAGGUCUAUUCUAGCCAUCAAACUAAUGGUGGUGUACUUGCCAGAAAGUCAAGUUACCAAACUGGCGAUACCCAACAGAUUCUUUGAACACUUAGGCCUUGCUUGGAUUGAAGGUUUUCGUCGGAAAAUAUUAUCGUUUUCCGUGAUCACAUUUCCCUAUCACCUUUUUCCCUCACAUAUAUCAAAUCGCUACAGUAAUUUUUUCAUGAAAAAUGACGGAAAAUGCAAUCCAAACACAACCUUACUCUGCAACAAAUUUAUGAAUUCUGUGCAACGUUGCUCUGUUUGGAUUAUAAAUUAUUUGAGAUAUUUUUACUGCAGCACUUUUUGUGAUGUGAUGUAUGUUAGAUAAAAAGGUAAUUGGAAAGAUAAAAAGGUGUGUUGGAAAUUGUAAUAAUGAUGUAAGCAAAUAAAUUUUAACAAAUAAUUCCUCUAUCCAAACAAACUUGUGUAGCUGGUGUAAAGAGGAUCAGGUUACCUCAGAAUAUUGCUUAUGCAGCUUAGUUUUGUUUCAUCGGAAUUCUCCGAGGCUAGCCUCCGAAGUAAUGUCCCUGCCUCCUCUUUCAUGAUGGCAAGCAUAUAGCACAGAAUUGCUCAGAGCGCGGUAGAUCAGGUGACAAUGGGGGAGCAAAGCUGCGGCCCCUGUUUAAGCUCAUUGCAUAUGACACUAAUCUAAUCCAUUUUGAGCCUCCACUGAGCUCUUGCAAUCUCAGACUGCGAUGAAAGGAUACACUACCCAUACUUGCAUAGGAUUGCAGCAGAAAGCCUCAGUAUACAACCUCUUUCUUAGGUUGAUUAAAAGAUCUUGAUAAUUCACCUUUGACGAAGAAAUACAGAAAUAUAGUUUGGAGAUGAGCACAUAGAAUUGGAUCCAGUCAAAUAGGAAGCAAGUUGGGAAGAUGAACCAAAACCUGUUCUAGUAAAUAGCAGUUUAAUGCAACAAUUACUCGAAAGAAUCCCAUAGUAAGAUGCUUAAUGUAUGUCCCAGGACGACAUUACAUAAGCAUUCGUGAAAGUCUUUCUAACAAUUUACUUGUGCAUUUCAAUUCACUCUUAGCCUAUAACUCUCUCCUGGGCAAUAGUCGGAUGGAUUUAUAAUCAAAUAACCUGGAAGUUGAGGGGAACUUCCAGGGUGUGGAUGAGAUAUGUAAGCACCAGAGCCAACAACAUCAAGACGUAAGCAAUCCCCUGGUCAAUAGUUGUCCCUGAAAUAUGAAUACAAAAUCAAACUUUUAGGAAGCUUUCAGUGAUAUGCUUACUAGCAGGCAAGCCUGAAAAAGUAACGAUUUAGGUAGGAAUAACUGUAUCAUGCUAGGAAUUGUGUCUUAAACCACGGAUUUACAUCUUCUACGUAGCAAAUAUCCAUGAAGUAAAUAGGAACCAGAAAAAAUAAAAAUGCGAAAAGAUCCUGUGUCGUCAUUGUCAUUAAAAGUCAGGGCAAGUAAAUUGUAUAGUUGAUUUUGUUUCAGAGGAUGACUUCUGCAAUGUAUCAUAUGCUCCUUUUUUUUUUUUUUUUUUUGGAAAUCAAUUAACUAAUUAUUGUCUUGAAACUCGGUCGGUGCAUAACUUGAUUACUCAAUAAUCAAGUAAACUGCCCGGCGAUUGCUUUUCAUUGUAUCACUUCAGUCAACCAAAACUCAUAGUGAUUUAAGUAUUUUACAGUAAAAAUUAGUCAAAAGGUCAGUUGAAAAUAUCAAUUACAGUUUGUCAAUCUCAAAACUCCAAAGAUGACAUUAUUGUCAUGUUUAGCAAAUAGCUGCUGCAACAAAACUAUAGGCACUCUACGCACAAGAAGAAGAGAAGAUCCCAGAUCCCUCCUCCAAAGGAAACAAGGUAAUGCCAUUUUCACCAUAAACCAUGGCCAUCAAAGAAUUUCCGGCCAACCAUGAACAGCAAUCCCACUUUUUCUAAGAUCCAGAACAAGAAAAAGAAAACAAAAUAAAAUCCGCACUAUUGAACAAGCCAAACAAAAUGGUACACAAAUGACAGUAAAAAAAAUUUUACCGUCACUGGUGGGAGCAGGAGCCGGGGCUGGAGGGAAGCUAUGAUGAACAUGACCCUCAGCAGCAGCAGGCAUAAAGACGGUGAAAAUAACAGCAAUUAGGACGACAACGACGAGGCCAUUGCACAUUCUUUUAUUGAUCUCCAUCUCUCUCUCUCUCUCUCUCUCUGGUUGAUCUCUUACUCUUUGUACUAAUCAAUAAAUAAUUUUGCUCUCUGGCUCUCACUCUCUAUUUCUGCUACAGCGGUCCGAAAGGAAUGAAGCUGCUAUAGUCUUCAAUAAUAUGUUCCUACAAGGAAAUUGUACUGGUACUAGACUACGAGUCUUCGAAUGGAAAUGGUGACCACUUUUGCAGCUUUAAUUCCCCUACUUGUACCCCCUUUUUUUUUGUGUCCCACUCUUCUUUUGAACAGAUCUAACAAGAUUCUAAACAAGUACGUGAAAGGCUGCAAUGAUUUCUUUCUUCCUCAUGCCAACUUGCCCAUUUUUACUUUUGCCGUAAGACUAAUCUUUUCAAUUUUUUUAAAAAUUUUUUACUUAAGGUUGCUGGUACUACUUAAUUGAGGCUUAAGAGUUUUUCCUUAAUCAAAAUUAGAUCAGAAAAGUGACUAAACGUACGAAUAAACAAAAAAAAAAAGUAUGUAAAGUUGUAUAUAUAAAAUAGUAAGUUGUGUAUAUUAGAUCAGAGGUUUCUCACAAUUGCAGAGAUCUCCCCUCAAGUUUAUUAAAUUAUAUCUACCUCCCUUACUUUUACUUAUAUAACAAUAUCCUAAACUACCCUUUUUGUACAAAAAUAAAACAAAAUUUAUUUUGCCAAUUGCUUUCUUCCAUAUUUUAACCAAACUCACUAUAUUAACAAACUAACCUAAUAAAUAGUCUAAUUUGAAAUUCUAAACCCAAGCAACCAAAGCAUGCAUUCAAUCUUGAAGAUUCGUUCCGAAGCAUGCAUUCAAUCUAUUAUCAUAGCAUGCAUUCGUUCUAUUAUCAUAGUCAUAAAAUUGUUUCUCCCAAAGCAUGCAUUCAAUCUUGAAGAUUCGUUCCAUUCUUCAAAAAUAUUCUCACUAUAUGGUUCCAUGGAAUAGUCAAAUUCACAAUCAACUGUCCUUAUGGUUGCAUAAUCUUCCAACACAGAACGCCAUGAUUUGAUUCCAUAUAAGUGGUUUAACUCCUAUUAAAUGAGCCACAUUAUGGCCUUGAAGAAAAUCCUCAGGCGAGAUUUAGGCAUGGAUGAGAUUAAUCAAAUUUAAGAGAAGGAAAGACAUCAUCAUUAUGACUAUAGAGAUCUUCAAGAAAUUCAUUUUGCCAAAAAUCAAAAUUCUAUUUACAACUAAUCACACCCCAAACUUCAAACCCAAUGCCUACACCUUUUCAAAACAAAAUAAUCUAACCUACCAUUAAAUCUCCAAAUAUGUUAUCAUGUUAAAUAUAGAGAAGCAACUCUAUCUCCAUAGCAAAACCAUAACCAACAAUUGUCAAGCAUAAAAAGAAAUAUAAAUGUACUUAUUAACAUCUUAAAAAAUUUUUUGGAUAAAUGAUAAACAAAUUAUCAAAUUUACUAAUUUUAGCCCCUCUUCGUCUUUUGGCCAAUGAUUGCAUUAUUUGUUCCAUUAUUAUUGUGUGACUCUUCAUUUCCUUUUUAGAUUGACUAUGUAAUUAAAUUUUACUUCAACCAUCAAAUCUAAUCGCUCAACUAAACUUAUGAUUUGACAAUUCCAAAGAGAAAAAAGGAGAAAUAGGAAUAUAUAGUAGAGUUUAACGGAUCACUUGUGGUGUGAUUGACUGCAAUUAUAAGCAAUAGUUAGUGAUAAUUUGAGAGUGAAUUGUAGGAGAAAGGGGUUGAUGGAUGAGAACGAAGUGACGGUAAGUGAGAGCAAAUGGACGUUGGUCGCAAUUUGUAAACAAGAUAAACGAAAAAGUUAGGUUUCUUUUCUUUUUUUAAUCUCAUUUCAUUGUACUGUUGAAUUAUUUAUUAAUUGAAUGUCAUUAUAGUCAUUUUAUUGUGACAAGGGAGGUCAGUGUAAUUUAUAAAACCUGAGGGGAGCCGAGUGAAAUUGUCAAAAACCUCAAGGAAGGUUUGUGAAAUUAUUCCUAUUAAGUAUCAGCAGGUACUCUAGAUUCUCUGUUAAAAAAAUCCAUACUUAAUAAGUCACCAAUACCCUCGAUUAUCCAUUACAUGAAUUUGUAUAUAUAAAAUAGUAAGUAGAAUCAUGAAACCCGAUCUAGAUUGUAAGAUGUUUUACUUAAAAUCGAAAGGUCAAAGUUUGAAUCAUCAAGGGAAAAAGUGAGGAACAUAUUGAUCAUUUAAAAAAUUAAAAUAUAAAAUAUUGCCCGUUAAAAAAAAAUCCAUACUUUAUUAGUAGGUUUAUAUAAGUAUUACAUAUCUUUUUGCAAAAAUCUACUCCUGUAGUUGAGUUGUGCUACACAAAUGGCCUUCAUGUUGUCCUAUUGCACAUGAUUGUAGAUUAAUUUUCAAAUAUUUCAUUUUCUAAACCGCAUAAAAUAAUGUUAUUUGUCAUCCAAGAAGAUAAUGUGAGGUUAUAACGAAAAUAAGAGAAAGGAAAAAAAUUGGAUGCUCCUUGAUUUACUUUUUGUCAAAAAUGGUUGAUGUCGUCAAAGUUAUAAGUACUAAGUUUAUCUUAGCACGUGGUAAUAAAAAGAUAGGUGUGAAGUAAAAGAAUGCCUAAGAAUCUCUAAUAUCGCCUGCCAAAUCAACAAAAUUACUUGCUAUUUUGGAUUUCUUGUAGAGAAAGAAGUGGCUAGUAUGGUCCUCCGGUUCAAGUCAUGUUGUUAGACCCGGACCGAAUCUACCAGUUCGAGCAGUUUAACCGUGAACUAGCCUUCAUCUCGAGCUGAUUUGUAACACAAAAUCAUUUUGAUAAAAAAUCAGUCAGAACCAUUCAAAAUUGGCUAAACCAGUGACCCGAUUUCGACUGAUUGACCCGAUUCUCAAACUUUUCUUUCUUCUUUUCCCCAAACAUAAUUUGAGUUACCUAAAAUGUAACACAUUCAUAUAUUAAUAGGAAUAAGAAAACACCACCAACUUAGUGUAAAUACGUACCAAAAUCAGUCACUUUUCUGAAUGAUCUCUAAAUCAAGAUGUUUUCAUCCUUAUGACCUUAUCAAUUUAGUAUCAGUGAUUUCAACUUGUAUUAAUUUAUUUUAAUUUAGUUUUUCAAGUAGUAGUCAUAAAUUUACAUUUUUAUAUAUAAUUAUUAGGUGUAUAUAUGAUUGCAAGUCUAAUAUUUUUGGAACAUUUUCUAUGAUUAGCAGAAUAUAACCAAAAACUUAAUUUCAAUAUUUCUGAAACUUAUAAAAAUAUAAAGUAAUUAUGAUAUCAUAUUGAUGUCAGUGAAUUUUUAAGAAUGAUCCGACCAAUCUGUCAAAUUAACCUUUGAUCCAAUAGGUUAGCCGAGUCGUUAUCCGGUCCGAAUUUAAUAACAUUGGUUCAAGUCCCUCAGUUUUCGUAAUAAAACAAAUUUUAAUUUUAUUGGGUAAAUGAAGUACUAUUUAAUUUUCGGUCGUGCAAUGCAACCACUCCAUUAACAGUAUGUCCAAAAUUUAGAUACCUAUUAGUAUUUGGUUUCUCGAGAAAUAAUCCCCGUUAUGAUUUAAGAAAUAAAUGCAUAAUAGUCGUAUCGGAUUCGGAUCUAAUGACAUGAAUAUAUGCUUAGGCAUUGUUUGUUGUAACGUGAAUAUGACCAGAACUCAAAAUUCUCUGGCGUAAAAAGAUACCAGACGAGACACCAUAUCCAUAUGUAGUAGUCAUGGCGAAGAAGAACAGAUGAAUUGCUGGAUAAACUCACCAUGUGUAUGGAAGGUCAGCUGCUGAACCUGGAACUAUAUAGGAGCUACAUAUAUAGGAUCGAGUUAACUAAACCUAGAUGCAAUCGACCUUAAUCUAUCUUUGUCAUUGCAUAUCCUAAAUUUCUCGCAUAAAUGACAAAGCCCUUCUCUUUAGAUCUUUUAAACCUUAUUUUCUCCUCCUCCUCUUAGAACUCCUUCAGUCAAAAGCUCUCUCUCUUCUCUCUCUCUCUCUCUCUCUCUCAUGGGAGAGAGACUAGACAAAUAUGAUUUUUACUUAUAGGAGUAAAUUCUUUCAUAGGAUUUUCUAAUGAGAGACUCUUCCUUUCUAGAAUCUCCCUAUGAGAGUUUCUUCUCUCUCUAGAGUGUUCUAGUGAGAGUUCUGAGCGUUUUUCUUCAUGAAAGUUUUGUUUAGUUUUUAUAUCUUUGUAUGAAAUUUGAAAUUUUAUACAUCUAGUUUUUCAAAUCUACAAUUUCUCUGUUCAUUAGUAUUAGAUCUAAAUUUCUCUUUUGGCUUGGCCCUGCUUUUAAUUAUGUCUGAUUGUUGGAAGACAUGCACAGGUCUAUGGAAUUGCAAUGAUUCAUUUGAUUGAAAAAUGUGUUAAGAGUUUAGCUUUAUUUUUGUCUUGUAUUCAGUAUUGAUUUCAGGUCUGUAUAUAUCUGUAUCGCGUUUGAUUUGAUAUAUUUUUACCAUUAGUGCAAAUUUAUUGAAUAAAAUGGUCUUUUAUCAAAAAAAAAAAAAGUUCUAAACCAUUAUCAUUAUCUCAAAAGAACUGUAGCAAAAAUGUCAAAGCAUUAGCUCAAGCCAUUAUCACACACUAAAAUGUUUAAUGACUUCAUCUUGCUAUGAUAAGUCCCUUUUACGUCACAAAUCGGGUGUACGUGCGUGGAUCAAUAUAACAUACGAGACCGGGCACUUUUGUUCUAGUGAUACAAGUAGUAUUUUGAUUCGAGCAACUUGAUUACAAUCUAACCGUGACGUCGCGUCAUACGUGGGGAGAAUGCAAUAAAACCGAGGCGUUUUCCCACUUGUACAGUUCGUUUCAGAAGCAGGUUUUGAGUAGUCUCGAUCCUGAUUUUGAUCAAUGCAAGCGUGCUAUUUUAAUUAUUGCUUCUCAGCAAGAUUACCUGGAUAAGAGGGCAGGCAGAUGCAUUUGUUGCAAUAAAUGAGAGAGCUACUAGACUGAGAGUUUUUUGAACACGAAACUACAUGCAACAAUAAUUGCCGGAACUCAUUAGCCUUUCCAAUUGAGCAGAGAAAAGAAAAUUCAUUGGACCAGUGAUGGUAUAUAUGGCUACAUGCCUGCUACCUUACUGUUUUCUUUUAAGAAAAUUUAUGUACUAGUUGCGUUCCAGGUUGAUGCAAUCACUGAAUCUCUUUCCACGUGGAAGCAAUCAAACCCAAGUGAAAUCCUAACAAUAAGAGUUGCAAAAUUCUCAAACCCCUUGUGCUUUUCAGUUUCAUAUGUAUUCACCUGGUUUUAUUGUCUAUCGAGCCUUGGGGUGUGUGACUUUAUAUAUGGAUGACAAGAGCAAAUGAGUCGGUGAUCGACGCACAUAGAACAUGCACCCAGAACUAACCACAAAUUUAGAUGAGCUUAAUCUGCAUGCCCUGUACUUAGAUGUGGGCAUAUAACUCAGACGUUAAUUUCUCUUUAUCAGUAGGUAGAUUACAGUAGUAUUAUUCUGGCAAUUGGCGAGGCGAGAUUCAGGGUUUGGAGUAGGUAUGGCUGUACUUCUAUACAAUAUCAUGCAGUUUUUUGACUUAUGAUAUAUUUCGAUGUACAAAUAUUGUGUAUGUAAACAAAAAAUUUCUUACAUCUGGUACAAAAAUACAACAUGAUUUUACAUCAAAAAAUUUGUAACAAAUACAACACCUGGACUGAACAGAUCGCGUUCCAUCACAAGCGCAAGGAUUCGAGCUAAUUAGGAAGCAACAACGUUGUGAACAAAUUUGUUUUGGUUGUAGUGGAUCAAAGCAGAUGCAAUCACGCAACUUUAACUUGGCAUUAGCAUUAAUCCGGAAUUUCUUGUUCUAUCAGGACAUGGUAAAUAAUUAAGUUAGUAUCAAGAAUCUGGAAAGCUGCUUAAUUUCAAAGCUACGCACCGUCAGACUACACAUAUUCGAUUAACUUCCGAAAUUCCAAACUUAUUGCAUUGAACAAGAGCUUAUAGUUUAAUUACAGAGGGGGACUCAUGCAUGGGAAGCUGAUCAUCAAACUCGUUUUAACAAGUACCAUGAUUAACACUGCUACAUACCCCAAUCUAUUAGUAGUAUAUAUUACCUAGUAUAGGAACAAGUACUGCAAGAAACGUAGCAGACACAUCGAACGUGCAUGACGCAGAGGGAUUGGAAUUGUAUAUUAGCAGUGCGUCGUAUUUAAUUAAUACUGAUCAGGCCAGAGGAAAGCUCCCAUAGCAAACUUCCUCUUCUGAUUGAGGUCACCAGCGGCGGGAAGUCCGUAGGCUUUGAGCAGACAAUCGAGUUGGGGUUCGGGCAUCUUCUCGUAGUCAGUCUUCUUGAACCUGGGGUAGUGCAAAGGCAUCUGAAAUGCGCAACAGGAGUUGCUGCUGCUGCUUCUGGUCCCUAAAGAUUGGUUUUUCUGGUGGUAGCCGUUUGGCAUAUUUAGACCAGAAUUGUAAUUGUUGCGUGUAGCAGAGGUAGGAAGGGAAGCUGCUCCAUUCAUGAUUGCUGCUGCAACUAUUUUUGGUUUUUGGUUUUUCGUCUCGGGAAACUAUCCUUUGGUGAAUGAAACG